Molecule: non-coding RNA, 50 nt
Filed under: unclassified sequences
Description: Xanthine-I sequence
Rfam family: Xanthine riboswitch aptamer (NMT1 RNA)
About the family: Later it was reported as a ncRNA that recognised Xanthine.
Source: Rfam by way of RNAcentral
UACUAGAGUAGAAGCGGUCAGGGGCUAGGCUCCGGGACAUUGCUCUUUGG